Non-coding RNA from Homo sapiens (human), 4322 nucleotides. The record is from RefSeq. Lineage: Eukaryota; Metazoa; Chordata; Mammalia; Primates; Hominidae.
AGAAAACUAACUGAAAAACGAGAACCUACUGUAUGGUUAGUAAUUUCUUCCAUGUCAUACAAGUAUUCGAGAAAUCUGCUACCUUGAUUAGUAAGACUGAACACAUUGGUUUUGUCAUUUAUUCAUGGAGGAAGUCCACCACCCACUUGGGGAGCAGAAGGAAAUUUGCCAUCUCAAUUUACUUAUCAGAAGUUUCUUUGCAGAAAUAUGAUUGUCCCUUCAGUGGGACAUCAUUUGUGGUCUUCUCUCUCUUUUUGAUCUGUGCAAUGGCUGGAGAUGUAGUCUACGCUGACAUCAAAACUGUUCGGACUUCCCCGUUAGAACUCGCGUUUCCACUUCAGAGAUCUGUUUCUUUCAACUUUUCUACUGUCCAUAAAUCAUGUCCUGCCAAAGACUGGAAGGUGCAUAAGGGAAAAUGUUACUGGAUUGCUGAAACUAAGAAAUCUUGGAACAAAAGUCAAAAUGACUGUGCCAUAAACAAUUCAUAUCUCAUGGUGAUUCAAGACAUUACUGCUAUGAAAUCCAAUCUUUUUUGACAUAUGCAUAUAGAAGUUCCUAGACUUCAGUGCUGAGGAGACAGAGGCUACAGGCAUCCAUAUGUCUGUCUCUGGGGUCUUCUUAGGAAGAGGCCUCUGAUGAAGAGAACAAAGCUCUUGUUUGAUAUCCCAGCUUGAGCAAGAGGAAUGGGACAAGUUCGUGGCAGCCACCAGCCGCCAGGAGAUGGCUGAAGUAGACAAUCAAUUUCCAGGUUAUUGGGAAAUUCAAGACCAAUCAAUAGAAUUAUCUGGAGAUAAACUCUCUGGGACAGUGUUCAUCAAGUUGCAGUGCCCUGUUUGAGUCCGAGUUAGUGUUAGUCGGAGAUACAGUGAAGUCUAAGGAGGAUGAGGAAGAGUGAUUGGUGAUAGCAGAUAAAAGAAAAAUGAAUCAGUGGGAUAAAUGGAGAUGACCAAGUUUGGCGAGAAGACAAUACUAUGAGAGAAGGUGUCCAGAGACAGAGUGAGACACAGAUAUAGGAACAGGAUCCUGGGCCUUCCUGCUCCAGGAAAAGCAUGGAAAAGGCAAGUUGUGAGGGCAGAAGACAGUCCCACAAGAACAUGAAAUUCAGUCAUGCAAAGGGCUGGGAAGGCAGAAACACAGUGGUGAGAGUGAGCCAGAAAGGAGAUGUGGGGAGCAAGGACUCAUGGCAGAGAAGGCCCUGGUAACCAAGAUAAGAAAGUCAACUGUGAAGGUGAACUAAGAACACAUGAUGGAUGAGUGGAAACCAGGGGCCAGAAAGUCUUUGAAGGCAGAAGAUACAAGGCAAUUUGUGGGCAGGAGGGAAAAAAGUAGUGAAAAUGUGCAGGCCAAUGUGAGAGGGGCCUGUGAUGGCAGAGAGGAGGCCAAUGAUGUGAGUAAAAGGAGCACUGCAGGAACCGGACCCAGUGUGACGUUAUGAGAAAAUGAGAAAAACUGAGAUGGUGAGGGAGAGUCAGAGCCAAUAUCGGAACCAAUGAUGAAAGGCCUCCAAAGAGAGGUCAGGAUAAGAAGACAGAAUAAAGGCGAGAACUGGAGAGAGCUCAGCAGUGGGUGGGGAUGGCAACUGGACCUCUGGAGUGUCAGCUGGGAGAGUGGAUGCUGGAGGUAGAGGAGGAAAAACCCAAAAAUUUGUGAAUGAGAGCUAGACCUGUGUGGUAAAAGCUUCCAAUACUUCUUCCCACACAGAGGGCUGCCUUCAGUGCAUACAUCAGGUCACUGAGGUAGGACAAGUUAAGACAAUCUUUUUAUUUUAUAGCUAUUAUGAAUGCCUAGGGACUCCAAAGAGAAACUUUGUAUAGUAACACCCAGUACAAAGUAUGUAAUCCAGGAAGUGACCAGCCCGAUGUGUGCUAUGACCCCUUUGAACCUCCCAUGAUCACAGUCCUUGAAGUAAGACUAAGAACUAGUCGUUCUCUAAGUGACGCAAGUAAAGUAAUAGCUAGAACAGAAGAAAAGGGGUCCCCAAAAAUGUAACCUUAAAAUUUGAUGCCUGUGCUGCUAUUAAUAGUAAACAGCAUAGGUUAAGAUGCGGUUCUCUAGAUUAGAAAAAAAGUUACGCAGCAGAAAAUAAGUACAUCUGUCAAGAAUCAUAUUUAUGUGAGAUGUGUCAAUACUGGUCUUGUGUCAUUCAUUUAGGCUACUUAGAAAGAAGAUAAAAAAGAUCCUGUUUGGCUCCAAAAAAGGAAAAGUCAGCCCCUCCUGCAUGAGGAGGAGCUGCAGCCCUUUAGAAUUGAUAAUCACAAAUCCCUCAGACCCAAAGUAGAAUAAAGGAAAAUAUGUAACAUUAGACAUUGAUAGAAAAGGACUAGAUCCUAGUGUAAAUAUCCUAAUAGAAGGAGAGGUUCAAAGAUGCUCUCCAGAACCAGUAUUUCAGACUUUCUAUGAUAAACUAAAUGUGCCAGUACCAGAGACUCCAGGAAAAACCGGAAAUUUGUUUUUGCAGUUAGCCAAGCAUGUAGCCCAGUCUCUAAAUGUCACUUCAUGUUAUGUUUGUAGAAAAACUGUAAUAAGAGAUCAAUGGCCAUAAGUAGCCCGAGAAUUAGUUCCUACAGACCCAGUUCCUGAUGAAUUUCCAGCCCAAAAGAACCACCCUGACAAUUUUUAAGUUCUAAAAGUCUCAAUUAUUAGACAGUAUUGUAUAGCUAGAGAAGGAAAAGGAUUCACUCAUCCUGUAAGGCAGCUUAGUUGUCUUAGGCAAAAGCUGUAUAAUGAUACCACAAAAACAGUUACAUGGUGGAGUUCCAAUUACACAGAAAGAAAUCCAUUCAGUAAAUUUCCAAAGCUGCAGGCUGUUUAGGCCCACCCAGAAUUCCACCAGGACUGGAUGGCCCCCACUGGGUUAUACUGGAUAUGUGGACACAGAGCUUAUGCUAAGCUGCCUGAUCAGUGGACAGGUAGCUGUGUAAUUGGCACCAUUAAGCCAUCUUUCUUCUUACUGCCCAUAAAAACAGGUGAACUUCUGGGCUUCCCAGUCUGUGCUUCCCGUGAAAAAAGAAGCAUAGCCAUAGGUGAUUAGAAAGAUAAUGAAUGGCCUCCUGAAAAAAUCAUACAAUACUAUGGACCCACCACUUAUGCACAAGAUGGCUCAUGAAGAUAUCAAACCCCCAUCUACAUGCUCAACCGAAUCAUACAGUUACAAGCUGUUUUAGAAAUUAUUACUAAUAAAACCAGUUGAGCUUUGACUGUUUUUGCCUGGCAAGAGACUCUUAUGAAGAAAUGCUAUCUAUCAAAUAGAUUGGCUCUCGACUACUUGCUAGCAGCUAAAAGAGAGGUCUAUAAGAAAUUUAACCUUACUAAUUACUGUCUACACAUAGAUAAUCAAAGGCAAGUAGUUAAAGACAUAGUUAAAGAUAUAACAAAACUGGCACAUGUACCCGUGCAAGUGUGGCACGGACUCAAUCCAAGAGCCAUGUUUGGAAAUUGGUUCCCAGCAAUAAGAAGAUUUAAAACUCUUCCAAUAAGAGUAAUAAUAGUAAUAGGAACUUGCUUACUGCUCCCUUGUCUGACACCUGUAUUUCUCCAAAUGGUAAAAAACUUUGUCGCUACCUUAGUUCACCAAAAUGCUUCAGCACAAGCAUACUAUAUAAAUCACUAUCGAUCUAUUGCACAAAAAGACAUAAGUAGCAAAAAUAAGAGUGAGAACUUCCCCUAAUAAAAAGUGAGAGUCUCAAAUGGGGGAAAUGAGGGAAGAGAGAGACCCUCUCAUAUUGUUUUAUAUUGUUUUAUACUCAGUACCUGUUUUAAGAAAAAAACAACAAGAAAGUAAAACCAAAGACAGGCAGCCCAGCACCAGGCCCGAAACCAGGCCUGGGCCUGCCUGGCCUAAACCAGAUUUCAUUUGUAGAUUGCAUUGUUCAUGCUUGGCUAAAGCAGAACAGUAUUAUGGUGCAACAGGCACUAAAAAGAACUAUAGGAAGAUGUGAGUUUGGAGGAGUACAUGGGAGCCUCAUCAUAUAGUAACUUGUGAACCACAGGGAAACCUUCACGUUUUACUGAGUGAGAUAGGUAGUUGAAAAUUAGUUAAAAAUCAACUCAUAACUUAGAAACCGAUGUUAUUCAUAGAUUCCAGACAUUGUAUAGAAGAACAUUGUGAAACUCCCUGCCCUGUUCUGUUUCUCUCUGACCACCGGUGCAUGCAGUCCCUAUCAUGUACCACCUGCUUGCUCAAAUCAAUCACGACCCUUUCAUGUGAAAUCUUUAGUGUUGUGAGCCCUUAAAAGGAACAGAAAUUGUGCAUUCGGGGAGCUCAGAUUUUGAGGCAGUAGCUUGCCGAUGCUCCCAGAUGAAUAAAGUCCUUCCUUCUCCAA